Molecule: long non-coding RNA, 1150 nt
Filed under: Oryctolagus cuniculus (rabbit)
Lineage: Eukaryota; Metazoa; Chordata; Mammalia; Lagomorpha; Leporidae
Description: lncRNA (ENSOCUG00000039146.1)
Source: RNAcentral
UCAAAAGUGCUUCUUGCCCCCAGACCUGUUAAGACCAGUUAAGCUGAUUAUUUAAAAAGAUUUAUUUUAUUUGUUUUAAUGGCAAAAUUAGAGAGAGAGAGAGAGAGAGUCUUCCAUAGGCUGGGUCACUCCAAAUGGCUGCGAUGGUUGGCACUCAGCCAGGCAGAAGCCAGGAGCCAGGAACUCCAUCCGGGUCUCCCACGUGGGUUGCAGGAGUCCAAGUGCUUGGGCCAUCUUCCACUGCGCGUUAGCAGGAAGCUGGAUCAUGCGUGGAGAAGCUGGAGACUCGAACAAGUGCGCCUAUGGAAUGUUGGCAUUGCAGGGGGUGGCUUACUUUACCAGCUAUGCCACAACACGGGCCCAAGCUGGUUUAUUUCGUUGUUUUGUUUGUUUGUUUUGGUAAAUGAUAUUCACCCAUGGAAUAGAGUAAUCGCAGGCAAGUUGAAUUCCUGGAGAGUGGAAGCUUGAAGGUGGUCAAAAGGGGGACGGGUAUUCUUGGAGGAGGGAACACAUUCUGCAAAGCGUCUUAGGCAGAACAAGACUUUCUUUGUGGCACUUAAGGAAUGCCAUGUGCUGUGGCUUCAGCUUCCUGUGGGAAAGCAGGAAGACGUGAGGCUGAAAUGGAGAGCGGAUCUGAGCAGGAGGAGGGUUACCUCCCUAAUACGCACCUGUUCUCCAGGAGUAGAAUCUCCCUUUGGAGUCUUUGGAGGAGACCUUCAUGAUGGUUAAUCCAAGGCGGCGCCUUGCUGACGUCAUGGUUAACCAGUUUCUGCUGGAGAAAGCACUUACAGGCAUGAGCCAAGUCAACAGAUUGUGCACAAUGCAAAAUACAGGAGGUCCUGUUCAUUGCACGUGGAGCUUCCUCCCUAGCAAGAACCACAGCUGCGGCUGGGGCUUCCUGCCCACAUUCCAGCAGACCUUGCCCUGCAGGGGCUGCGAUCCAGCUGACCGGAAGCACUCGGGUAUGAGCAACUUCCGGCUCAGCCCCCAGCUGAUGAUGAGGGGGAGUUACUGCAGAACACUCCCUGGUCCCCCUCGCAUAGGGGCUUCACCCCGAGGUAGCUGCUUCCUAGAGAUGUCUCAGAAACAUUGCGCCUUAGAUGCCAGUCCUCUCAGAAGCCUCAUGAAUUUCCCCAGGACAGAGACUUAA